RNAcentral lists this ribosomal RNA (254 nucleotides) under uncultured bacterium. RNAcentral describes it as "partial 16S ribosomal RNA". It matches the Rfam family "Bacterial small subunit ribosomal RNA", at positions 524 to 777 of the family's 1533-position model. The record is from RNAcentral.
UACGUAGGGUGCGAGCGUUAAUCGGAAUUACUGGGCGUAAAGCGUGCGCAGGCGGUUUUGUAAGCCAGAUGUGAAAGCCCCGGGCUUAACCUGGGAAUGGCAUUUGGGACUGCAAGGCUUGAGUGCGGCAGAGGAGGCUGGAAUUCCUGGUGUAGCAGUGAAAUGCGUAGAUAUCAGGAGGAAUACCGAUAGCGAAGGCAGCUUACUGGGCUGUAACUGACGCUGAUGCACGAAAGUGUGGGGAUCAAACAGGA